UUCGAGCGGAACGAUGGUAGCUUGCUACCAGGCGUACGAGCGGCGGACGGGUGAGUAAUGCUUAGGAAUCUGCCCAGUAGUGGGGGAUAGCCCGGGGAAACCCGGAUUAAUACCGCAUACGCCCUUUUGGGGAAAGCAGGGGAUCUUCGGACCUUGCGCUAUUGGAUGAGCCUAAGUCGGAUUAGCUAGUUGGUGGGGUAAAGGCCCACCAAGGCGACGAUCCGUAGCUGGUCUGAGAGGAUGAUCAGCCACAUCGGGACUGAGACACGGCCCGAACUCCUACGGGAGGCAGCAGUGGGGAAUAUUGGACAAUGGGGGCAACCCUGAUCCAGCCAUGCCGCGUGUGUGAAGAAGGCUUUCGGGUUGUAAAGCACUUUCAGUGAGGAGGAAGGCUUUCAGACUAAUACUCUGGAAGAUUGACGUUACUCACAGAAGAAGCACCGGCUAACUCCGUGCCAGCAGCCGCGGUAAUACGGAGGGUGCAAGCGUUAAUCGGAAUUACUGGGCGUAAAGCGCGCGUAGGUGGUUGAGUAAGCGAGAUGUGAAAGCCCCGGGCUUAACCUGGGAACGGCAUUUCGAACUGCUCGGCUAGAGUGUGGUAGAGGGUAGU
RNAcentral lists this ribosomal RNA (610 nucleotides) under Marinobacter maritimus. Its description in RNAcentral is "bacterial SSU rRNA". It matches the Rfam family "Bacterial small subunit ribosomal RNA", at positions 61 to 662 of the family's 1533-position model. Lineage: Bacteria; Pseudomonadati; Pseudomonadota; Gammaproteobacteria; Pseudomonadales; Marinobacteraceae. The record is from RNAcentral.